Molecule: ribosomal RNA, 1200 nt
Filed under: uncultured Acidobacteriota bacterium
Lineage: Bacteria; Pseudomonadati; Acidobacteriota
Description: bacterial SSU rRNA
Rfam family: Bacterial small subunit ribosomal RNA
Source: RNAcentral
AGAGUUUGAUCCUGGCUCAGAAUCAACGCUGGCGGCGUGCCUCAGACAUGCAAGUCGAACGCGAAAGAAGCCUUCGGGUUUCAAGUAGAGUGGCGUCCGGGUGAGUAACACGUAGGUAAUCUACCUUCGGGUGGGGAAUAACGCAGGGAAACUUGCGCUAAUACCGCAUAAUGCAGCGGCACCACAUGGUGACAGUUGUUAAAGCGGGGGAUUUUCGAACCUCGCGCCUGAAGAGGAGCCUGCGGCAGAUUAGCUAGUUGGUAGGGUAACGGCUUACCAAGGCGACGAUCUGUAGCCGGCCUGAGAGGGCGGUCGGCCACACUGACACUGACAUACGGGUCAGACUCCUACGGGAGGCAGCAGUCGGGAAUUUUGGGCAAUGGGCGAAAGCCUGACCCAGCAACGCCGCGUGAAGGAUGAAAUCCCUCGGGAUGUAAACUUCGCAAGAAUAGGAAGAAUGAACGAGCGCUAACACCGUUCGUGAUGACGGUACUAUUUGUAAGCUCCGGCUAACUCCGUGCCAGCAGCCGCGGUAAUACGGGGGGAGCAAGCGUUGUUCGGAUUUACUGGGCGUAAAGGGCGCGUAGGCGGCCAGCGCAAGUCAGUUGUGAAAUCUCCGGGCUUAACUCGGAAAGGUCAACUGAUACUGCGCGGCUAGAGUGCGGAAGGGGCAACUGGAAUUCUCGGUGUAGCGGUGAAAUGCGUAGAUAUCGAGAGGAACACCUGCGGCGAAGGCGGGUUGCUGGGCCGACACUGACGCUGAUGCGCGAAAGCCAGGGGAGCGAACGGGAUUAGAUACCCCGGUAGUCCUGGCCUUAAACGAUGGAUGCUUGGUGUCUGGAGUUUUAUAGUCUCCGGGUGCCGCAGCUAACGCGUUAAGCAUCCCGCCUGGGGAGUACGGUCGCAAGACUGAAACUCAAAGGAAUUGACGGGGACCCGCACAAGCGGUGGAGCAUGUGGUUCAAUUCGACGCAACGCGAAGAACCUUACCUGGGCUAGAAUGCUUCCGACAGCCGUAGAGAUACGGUCUCCUAGGGAAACCUAGGCGGAGUGCAAGGUGCUGCAUGGCUGUCGUCAGCUCGUGUCGUGAGAUGUUGGGUUAAGUCCCGCAACGAGCGCAACCCUUAUCGAUAGUUGCUAGCGGUUCGGCCGAGCACUCUAUUGAGACUGCCGUUGACAAAACGGAGGAAGGUGGGGAUG